This 459-nucleotide ribosomal RNA is filed under the name uncultured bacterium. RNAcentral's name for it is "partial 16S ribosomal RNA". It matches the Rfam family "Bacterial small subunit ribosomal RNA", at positions 338 to 795 of the family's 1533-position model. The record is from RNAcentral.
CCUACGGGGGGCUGCAGUGAGGAAUAUUGGUCAAUGGCCGUAAGGCUGAACCAGCCAAGUCGCGUGAAGGAUGAAGGCCCUAUGGUUUGUAAACUUCUUUUAUAGGGGAAUAAAGUUAUCCACGUGUGGAUCUUUGCAUGUACCCUAUGAAUAAGCAUCGGCUAACUCCGUGCCAGCAGCCGCGGUAAUACGGAGGAUGCGAGCGUUAUCCGGAUUUAUUGGGUUUAAAGGGUGCGUAGGCGGAACAUUAAGUCAGCGGUAAAAGCGAGGGGCUCAACCCCUUUAAGCCGUUGAAACUGGUGGUCUUGAGUGGGCGAGAAGUAGGCGGAAUGCGUGGUGUAGCGGUGAAAUGCAUAGAUAUCACGCAGAACUCCGAUUGCGAAGGCAGCAUACCGGAGCCCGACUGACGCUGAGGCACGAAAGCGUGGGGAUCGAACAGGAUUAGAUACCCCUGUAGUC